AUACGUAGGGGGCGAGCGUUGUCCGGGAUGAUUGGGCGUCAAGGGCUCGUAGGCGGCGCGGCAAGUCUGGAGUGAACGUCCUGCUUUCAGGGCGGGAAUUGCUUUGGAUACUGCCGCCCUUGAGUGCAGGACAGGUGCUCGGAAUUACCGGUGUAGCGGUCAAGGGCGUAGAGAUCGGGAGGAACACCAGUGGCGAAGGCGGGUAACUGGACUGCAACUGACGCUGAGGCGCGAAAGUGUGGGGAGCAAACAGGAUUAGAUACCCUGGUAGUCCACACUGUAAACGAUGAAUGCUAGGUGUAAGAGGUAUCGACCCCUUUUGUGCCGGAGUCAACACAAUAAGCAUUCCGCCUGGGGAGUACGGCCGCAAGGUUGAAACUCAAAGGAAUUGACGGG
This 396-nucleotide ribosomal RNA is filed under the name uncultured bacterium. RNAcentral's name for it is "partial 16S ribosomal RNA". It matches the Rfam family "Bacterial small subunit ribosomal RNA", at positions 523 to 917 of the family's 1533-position model. The record is from RNAcentral.